This 93-nucleotide ribosomal RNA is filed under the name uncultured Thalassiosira. RNAcentral's name for it is "partial 5.8S ribosomal RNA". It matches the Rfam family "5.8S ribosomal RNA", at positions 67 to 154 of the family's 154-position model. Rfam says of the family: 5.8S ribosomal RNA (5.8S rRNA) is a component of the large subunit of the eukaryotic ribosome. It is transcribed by RNA polymerase I as part of the 45S precursor that also contains 18S and 28S rRNA. Lineage: Eukaryota; Bacillariophyta; Thalassiosirophyceae; Thalassiosirales; Thalassiosiraceae. The record is from RNAcentral.
ACGAACUGCAGAACCUCGUGAAUCAUCAAAAUUUUGAACGCACAUUGCGCUUUUGGGUCAUGCCCAAGAGCAUGCUUAUCCGAGUGUCCCUAA